CCUACGGGAGGCAGCAGUGAGGAAUAUUGGUCAAUGGCCGGAAGGCUGAACCAGCCAUGCCGCGUGAAGGUCAGUGCCCUAUGGGCGUUAAACUUCUUUUGUGCGGGAGCAAUAAUGGUCACGUGUGGCCAGACGAGAGUACCGUACGAAUAAGCAUCGGCUAACUCCGUGCCAGCAGCCGCGGUAAUACGGGGGAUGCAAGCGUUAUCCGGAUUUAUUGGGUUUAAAGGGUGCGUAGGCUGUGAGGUAAGUCAGCGGUGAAAUGCCCCCGCUCAACGGGGUGAAGUGCCAUUGAUACUGCCUGGCUGGAAGGCGGAUGCCGUGGGAGGAAGGUGUGGUGUAGCGGUGAAAUGCAUAGAUAUCACACAGAACACCGAGUGCGAAGGCAUCUCACGAAUCCGCGAUUGACGCUGAUGCACGAAAGCGUGGGUAUCAAACAGGAUUAGAUACCCUUGUAGUC
This 460-nucleotide ribosomal RNA is filed under the name uncultured bacterium. RNAcentral describes it as "partial 16S ribosomal RNA". It matches the Rfam family "Bacterial small subunit ribosomal RNA", at positions 338 to 795 of the family's 1533-position model. The record is from RNAcentral.